This 219-nucleotide long non-coding RNA is filed under the name Elaeis guineensis (African oil palm). Its description in RNAcentral is "long non-coding RNA (EGUI_LNC029266)". The record is from RNAcentral. Lineage: Eukaryota; Viridiplantae; Streptophyta; Magnoliopsida; Arecales; Arecaceae.
UCGCUUCUUUGGAUUUCUCUUGUUCAUGUGACAUUUUUCAUAUCAAUAAUAGCGUCCAAACGUAGAGUGCAUGGACCAUCUUCUCAGCAUAGUGGAAGGUAAUCAAUUCUAUAAUUUAGCACGAAUCUCAAACUAGGCGAAGUUUUGUUGGAGAUUUUUUGGAGAUAAAUAGAUCAAGCAAAUAUGCAUAUAAAAAUAAAAAUACAGAGAGAACACAGA